UGUUAGAAAUUUUAUCCAUUUCUACUAUUAAAAACUGACAUGGCCGAUAAAAUAACCAGAUAGUUACACUUCACGCUGAUGUGCAAGGACCAAUUUUUAAUAGUAGAAAUGGAUAGGAUUUUUAAUA
Molecule: non-coding RNA, 127 nt
Organism: Gossypium raimondii (Peruvian cotton)
Lineage: Eukaryota; Viridiplantae; Streptophyta; Magnoliopsida; Malvales; Malvaceae
Source: Rfam